GAUUGCUGUUUGUAGUUUAACUUGGUGAUUUUGCUAAGUUAGUUAGUUAUCUAUUGUGAGCUGGUCAUGGGAGUUACUCCGUAAAUGAGUGUCCAGUGAAACUCUAAUCAUGUUACCAAGCAUUCAUCCUCAUCUAGUAUGCACACAUGUCUCACUUAUCGUGCAUGCAAUAGGUGCACCGGAAACGACAGCUUCAUUCGAGCUCAACCUGGUGAACCCCAAAGGCCAGGAGAUCAAUCCGGAAGCGGAGGUCCAGCCAGCCGGACACGAGGAGCCCGAAGAGGAGGUCGAGUGCCCGAAUCACGAGCCAGCCUCGUUCGUGAAAGGCAAGCCCC
Molecule: long non-coding RNA, 335 nt
Filed under: Sorghum bicolor (sorghum)
Lineage: Eukaryota; Viridiplantae; Streptophyta; Magnoliopsida; Poales; Poaceae
Description: long non-coding RNA (SBIC_LNC006707)
Source: RNAcentral